GGAGGGUGCAAGCGUUAUCCGGAUUUAUUGGGUUUAAAGGGUCCGUAGGCGGAUCUGUAAGUCAGUGGUGAAAUCUCAUAGCUUAACUAUGAAACUGCCAUUGAUACUGCAGGUCUUGAGUAAAGUAGAAGUGGCUGGAAUAAGUAGUGUAGCGGUGAAAUGCAUAGAUAUUACUUAGAACACCAAUUGCGAAGGCAGGUCACUAUGUUUUAACUGACGCUGAUGGACGAAAGCGUGGGGAGCGAACAGGAUUAGAUACCCUGGUAGUCCACGCCGUAAACGAUGCUAACUCGUUUUUGGGUUUUCGGAUUCAGAGACUAAGCGAAAGUGAUAAGUAUCCCACCUGGGGAGUACGUUCGCAAGAAUG
RNAcentral lists this ribosomal RNA (367 nucleotides) under uncultured bacterium. RNAcentral's name for it is "bacterial SSU rRNA". It matches the Rfam family "Bacterial small subunit ribosomal RNA", at positions 527 to 896 of the family's 1533-position model. The record is from RNAcentral.